AACGAACGCUGGCGGCAUGCCUAACACAUGCAAGUCGAACGGGACCUUCGGGUCUAGUGGCGCACGGGUGCGUAACGCGUGGGAACCUGCCCUUAGGUUCGGAAUAACUCCCCGAAAGGGGUGCUAAUACCGGAUAAUGUCUUCGGACCAAAGAUUUAUCGCCUUUGGAUGGGCCCGCGUUGGAUUAGCUAGUUGGUAGGGUAAAAGCCUACCAAGGCGACGAUCCAUAGCUGGUCUGAGAGGAUGAUCAGCCACACUGGGACUGAGACACGGCCCAGACUCCUACGGGAGGCAGCAGUGGGGAAUAUUGGACAAUGGGCGAAAGCCUGAUCCAGCAAUGCCGCGUGAGUGAUGAAGGCCUUAGGGUUGUAAAGCUCCUUUACCCGGGAUGAUAAUGACAGUACCGGGAGAAUAAGCUCCGGCUAACUCCGUG
This 433-nucleotide ribosomal RNA is filed under the name uncultured bacterium. Its description in RNAcentral is "partial 16S ribosomal RNA". It matches the Rfam family "Bacterial small subunit ribosomal RNA", at positions 29 to 507 of the family's 1533-position model. The record is from RNAcentral.